This 166-nucleotide ribosomal RNA is filed under the name Caragana soongorica. RNAcentral's name for it is "partial 28S ribosomal RNA". It matches the Rfam family "Eukaryotic large subunit ribosomal RNA", at positions 1 to 166 of the family's 3401-position model. The record is from RNAcentral. Lineage: Eukaryota; Viridiplantae; Streptophyta; Magnoliopsida; Fabales; Fabaceae.
AGACCUCAGGUCAGGCGGGGCUACCCGCUGAGUUUAAGCAUAUCAAUAAGCGGAGGAAAAGAAACUAACAAGGAUUCCCUUAUUAACGGCGAGCGAACCGGGAAGAGCCCACCAUGAGAAUCGGUCGCCCUAUGCGUUCGAAUUGUAGUCUGGGAAAACCGUCACA